RNAcentral lists this ribosomal RNA (353 nucleotides) under uncultured bacterium. RNAcentral describes it as "bacterial SSU rRNA". It matches the Rfam family "Bacterial small subunit ribosomal RNA", at positions 63 to 413 of the family's 1533-position model. The record is from RNAcentral.
CGAACUUAUCGAAAGUUUACUUUUGAAGCGGUUAGUGGCGGACUGGUGAGUAACGCGUAAGUAAUCUGCCUAUCAGAGGGGAAUAACAGUGAGAAAUCAUUGCUAAUACCGCAUAUACUAAUUUUAUCGCAUGAUGAAAUUAGGAAAGGAGCAAUCCGCUGAUAGAUGGGCUUGCGUCUGAUUAGUUAGUUGGUAGGGUAAAGGCCUACCAAGACGAUGAUCAGUAGCCGGACUGAGAGGUUGAACGGCCACAUUGGGACUGAGAUACGGCCAGACUCCUACGGGAGGCAGCAGUCGGGAAUAUUGCGCAAUGGAGGAAACUCUGACGCAGUGACGCCGCGUAUAGGAAGAAG